UUCAAAAAGAUUAGAAAAAUUUCGUGAAUGUAAUAGAAAAAAAGAUAACCACGUUAGAUUACGUGAUAAUAAUUUCUAGUCACGGUAUAUAACACAACGUGUAUCACAGUAUAUUUUUGCGUGUAUUAUAUACGACGGGGUAUAGGAUGACGACGUAGAGAGGGAGAGAGAAAGAGAGAGAAGAAAUAUCGUGGCGAGGACGCAAAUGUGUUAGGAUUAUCGGUGAUAACCAAUCGAAGAGAAAUCGUGUGCAGAGUUGUGUGUUACUACAGCAGACAGCCCCAGCUCGAUCAACCGUACGCGUGAAUGGAACUGGUGUGUUAUGUUGUGUUGUGGUGGAGUAAAGUGGAGUGGAGUAAGAGUGGAGUGGAGUAUAGUGAAGAGUAGAGAGUGGAGUGUGGAAUGGAGUGGAGUGGAGUGAAGUGAAGUGCUGAUGCUAGAAGGAAAAAAUAUGAAUGAACUCGUGGUAGUGUGACAGUCUCAACGGCGUACGUACUCUUACUUAUAUAUAUACAUACACACAUAUAAAUAUAUACAUCCAUACAUAGAUACAUCAUAUAUAUAUAGGUGGUGAACAAGUUUAUGUUGUGAAUGCGCAUGCGUCCUGACGUAACGCACGUAGCACGUGCAUCGUUCCGUGCCAUUCAGCGAUUCACGCUUUAAUGCUAUGCACGACACGACACGAUACGACGACUAUGACUAUGAACAGAGACUAUGAAGACUACUAUUACGACUAUAUAACAUAAAACUACGAUCAUCGUUGAAGGUGAGAUCGAUGGAAAAACUACGACACUCGUGUGUAACGCAUUGCGUAUACUUGUGUUGAAUUGUACAUAUUGCACUAUACGUGUGUGUGUAUGUGUACAUAUGCCUUUUUACUUACUUACUUAUUUACUUACCUGCAUAUAUGCAUAGAACGUACCACGUGCUCUUAGAAAUUUCUCCUUGACCGAUUCACUGGCUCAACGCAAACGAGCUCGACUGGAACGACUAACAGCUAUACAUCAUACUAUUGGAAUAAUUUAGAAAAAUAUCCAAUUCCUAUCAUAUUUGAGGAUCUUCUAAAGUUUCCAGGUACUAGGAGGAUUAUUAAAGGACAUACAAUGGAUUAUCAACAUACAACAGCGGUUUAAGAACAACGUAUUACAUUCUUUAGUUCUUUUUUUAUAAAUUAAAUAUUAAUUAAAAAUUUAUCCACAUUUUAAAAAUCCAAAUUUAGAAAUCAGAUCCACAUUAAAUAAAUGUAAAAAGAAACCUCUAUACGGGAUUGAAACAAAUAAAAUAUAUUUAAAUUCAA
This is a long non-coding RNA of Polistes dominula (European paper wasp), 1297 nucleotides long. RefSeq lists it as uncharacterized. NCBI's taxonomy places the organism in Eukaryota, Metazoa, Arthropoda, Insecta, Hymenoptera, Vespidae. The record is from RefSeq and is a predicted model, not a curated record.